Long non-coding RNA from Felis catus (domestic cat), 2097 nucleotides. RefSeq lists it as uncharacterized. The transcript is spliced from 5 exons. The record is from RefSeq and is a predicted model, not a curated record. Lineage: Eukaryota; Metazoa; Chordata; Mammalia; Carnivora; Felidae.
GAACGGGGUGGGGCUUGGCGUUAGUGUUUCCGCUAGAGUUUAGUCUUUGUGUAGGCUUCAUGGUGGGAGAAUUUCCUCCCGGGACAGUAGUAGCAGCGUUUUAGACUGGAAGAAAGCCCAUAAAUUGCCUUUCGGAUCCUAGCCAUCCAGAGGCAUCUUUUAAGAAGUUUCUCUCGGAAUGGGGCCUUCCCAAUCCUGUUAGAGCGCAAUGCCAUACUUUUAGAAGAUGUCAGUGCUGUGGAAUGAGAUGGCCAACCAUCAUAUGUAUGCUGCAACUCAGAGAUACAGCUGUGAAUUCUCAGAAUACGGUACUGAUGGCCCUGUCGUCCAGUGCAUCCAAUGUCUGAUUUUCAUCUUGGCCAGCUUUCUACUAUGCCUUAGACAAAACUCAACCAUUCUCUUCCAUGAUGUAGAAUGGCUACUGAAAAGGAAGAAGAAAAGAAAGCUUUCAGAGGACAGUGAAGAGCUAUAGAGAAAAUCCCUUCUGGGAGCACCAUGAUCCCCAGGGAGCACUAUGAUACCUGGAGGCGGUAGAGGUAAGCUGGUAAGUUUGUCAAACCUGCUUCAGGGACACUCCAUGUGGUCCUGGGCUGAGAUAUUUUUGAAGCUGGUGCAAGCAGCAGUGGGGAAAUGGGGGCCUAGUGGUAUGGUGGUCAUUCCAGAAAUGUAACCCCUCAGAAACGUGCUACCCAGCCUCUUAUAAGAAGGGUAAAACAAAUAAAGCUGCUGCCUAUUUGGAACAUACGCUGGCUCCUUCCACAUCUGCAGGACAUUUAGCUCCUUGCAUCUGGUAAUGUUUGUGCAAAUAUAAUUCCAUAUUCACUAAUAAUUCCUGGGGCUAAAGGCCCCCCCUCGGGUAACCUUGUUAAUAUUCUCUCAAGGCCUGGUGUGAACGCCUCAUAGCAUUUUGAUUAGAAUUCAAUCUUGUGUUUUUUUCCCUCUCUGUCUCUUUCUCCCUCUCUCCUCUCAUGCUUUUCUGGCCCCCGGUUUCCUGGCCACCCACAUCAGGAGACAUUCUCCCUCCCUUCCACUCUCCAUUCUCAGUUUCAAGGAAUUUCCUUGUGUCAAAGGCAAAGUGUGAUUGACAUAUUUUCCCCCUCUUAAGAGCAGUCAUCUCGGUGUUUGAUUUAACCAUCUCCUUAUGGGGCUCGUACAAUCAUUACCUGGGUGAAAAAGAGACCUCCUGCUCACCCUCACGCUCAGACCCACGUAGCUCAGUAUUUUUGUAGACUUUUAAAUUGCUGCUCUCCUUCCUCUUUUUUUCUACCCUUUUCUUUCUUUUUGGUUGGCACUACCAAAUGACUCCCUGGUGUGUUGUACCCUGAGCCGUAAGGGUUUUAGUUGUCCGCCAACAGGUAGACCAGCUGCCUCCUGCCAGUGCCAAGAAAAGCAUUUGCUGCUCUUUAGAUCUGGGGGAAAGAAUGGAGAUAGAAUGAACUGUCUAGUUUUGAAUUCACCGCCUUUAGGCAGGUUGUUUUCCUUUGGUGCCUUAGUCUUACUUGACCGGCUUAUUUGUCACUCAGGAGAAGAAAACAGAAAACAGAAACAAAAGCAAAUUAGCCAUAGCAUGAAGAAUUGUAUUUAAACCCAAGAGGGAUUUCUUGGCAGUGAAGUUCUUAAUGUUGGAGUGAUUCUGGAAUGUAGGCCCCCUCUCUCAGGCUGCCUUAUCAUUGAAUUACUGUGGGUUCUAAGGGUUUCUGCCUGAAGGGGCUGAACUAGAUGACCUUGGAAGGUCACUUGCAGCUUUUCAGUUCAGCAGGAAUCCCCAUCUUUUCUGUGAAGGGCCACACUUCUCACAGUAUUAGAGCAGAUUCUGUCCUAAGGGGAUUGCUCAUGUCUCUCUAGAGUAGCCUGAAUCAUAUCUCCUGCCACUGAUUGUGAUAAGCCGCCUACUCAGAGCUCCCAAUUGCAGGCAACUCUGUUGCCUCACAAUAAUUGCAUUCUUCAGUAACCUCCUGUGCCCCAAUCCCAUUGUUUCAGAAGGAAACAAAGUGCUAGAAGAUAGAGCCUUGCAUUGGCAAUAACAAAGUUGAUGUUUUUUUUCCCCCUGCAGGAAUUUGAGUGAUGCAGUUUUAAUAAAAUAGAAAGCUGUCUGUA